UGCAAGGUGCCUGAUUAAAGGACAAUCUUGAUAGGAUUGAAAAAGUGUGAACAGCCCCCGCCGCACCCUUGUAA
This 74-nucleotide transfer RNA is filed under the name Gonioctena leprieuri. RNAcentral's name for it is "tRNA-Ile". Lineage: Eukaryota; Metazoa; Arthropoda; Insecta; Coleoptera; Chrysomelidae. The record is from RNAcentral.